This is a long non-coding RNA of Platichthys flesus (European flounder), 664 nucleotides long. RefSeq lists it as uncharacterized. The transcript has 6 exons. The record is from RefSeq and is a predicted model, not a curated record. NCBI's taxonomy places the organism in Eukaryota, Metazoa, Chordata, Actinopteri, Pleuronectiformes, Pleuronectidae.
UCCCGCUGCUGUGAUUGGCUGAUGGGUUUCUUCAUAUAGCUUCAGGACCCACAGUUCUGUCACUUCUGCUCCUGAGAACUCGACGAGUUGAAAUUAUGAUGUUCGACAAGGUAUCUCCAGGGAUAACUGGCAUAAACGCCGCAAGACCGGCAGUAAACGCAAGUCCUACCACAAGAAGAGGAAGUAUGAGCUCGGGCGUCCUCCUGCAAACACAAAGAUCGAACCUUGCUGCAUCCACACAGUGGAAACUUCUCCUGAGGCUCUGAAUGCUGCACUCGCAAGACCAGGAUUAUCGAUGUGGUCUACAACGCCUCCAACAACGAGCUGGUCAGAACCAAGACCCUGGUGAAGAACUGCAUCGUCCUCGUUGACAGCCUUCCCUCCAGGCAGUGGUAUGAGGCCCACUACACCACUCCUCUGGGACGCAAGAAGGGAGCCAAGCUGACUCCUGAGGAGAUCAAAAAGGUCUCAGAAGAAACACGACGAGUGUAAAAAGACGGCCAAGAUCGGCCCCUUCGUGGAGGAUCAGUUCCAGCAGGGAAAGAUGCUUGCAGGCUACCUCCUGGAAGGCAAAGAGCUUGAGUUCUACUUGAGGAAGGUCAAGGCCAAGAAAAGCAAAUGGAUGUACAGCUCUUUGAUUUGUCAAUAAAUUAUUUCCACCAAA